Molecule: unclassified non-coding RNA, 470 nt
Filed under: uncultured Glomus
Lineage: Eukaryota; Fungi; Glomeromycota; Glomeromycetes; Glomerales; Glomeraceae
Description: SSU rRNA
Rfam family: Eukaryotic small subunit ribosomal RNA
Source: RNAcentral
AGCAGCCGCGGUAAUUCCAGCUCCAAUAGCGUAUAUUAAAGUUGUUGCAGUUAAAAGCUCGUAGUUGAAUUUCGGGAUCAAUUUGCUGGUCGUGCCUCUGGUACGUACUGGUAUUAUUGGUUUCUCCCUUCUGACGAACCAUGAUGUCAUUAAUUUGAUGUCGUGGAGAAUCAGGACUGUUACUUUGAAAAAUUAGAGUGUUUAAAGCAGGCAUUAGCUUGAAUACAUUAGCAUGGAAUAAUGAAAUAGGACGUUUGAUCCUAUUUUGUUGGUUUCUAGGAUUAACGUAAUGAUUAAUAGGGAUAGUUGGGGGCAUUAGUAUUCAAUUGUCAGAGGUGAAAUUCUUGGAUUUAUUGAAGACUAACUACUGCGAAAGCAUUUGCCAAGGAUGUUUUCAUUAAUCAAGAACGAAAGUUAGGGGAUCGAAGACGAUCAGAUACCGUCGUAGUCUUAACCAUAAACUAUGCCGA